AGUGAACGCUGGCGGUAGGCCUAACACAUGCAAGUCGAACGGCAGCACAGUAAGAGCUUGCUCUUACGGGUGGCGAGUGGCGGACGGGUGAGGAAUACAUCGGAAUCUACUUUUUCGUGGGGGAUAACGUAGGGAAACUUACGCUAAUACCGCAUACGACCUACGGGUGAAAGCAGGGGAUCUUCGGACCUUGCGCGAUUGAAUGAGCCGAUGUCGGAUUAGCUAGUUGGCGGGGUAAAGGCCCACCAAGGCGACGAUCCGUAGCUGGUCUGAGCGGAUGAUCAGCCACACUGGAACUGAGACGCGGUCCAGACUCCUACGGGAGGCAGCAGUGGGGAAUAUUGGACAAUGGGCGCAAGCCUGAUCCAGCCAUACCGCGUGGGUGAAGAAGGCCUUCGGGUUGUAAAGCCCUUUUGUUGGGAAAGAAAAGCAGCAGGUUAAUACCCCGCUGUUCUGACGGUACCCAAAGAAUAAGCACCGGCUAACUUCGU
RNAcentral lists this ribosomal RNA (491 nucleotides) under uncultured bacterium. RNAcentral's name for it is "partial 16S ribosomal RNA". It matches the Rfam family "Bacterial small subunit ribosomal RNA", at positions 29 to 506 of the family's 1533-position model. The record is from RNAcentral.